RNAcentral lists this long non-coding RNA (2049 nucleotides) under Oryza sativa (Asian cultivated rice). Its description in RNAcentral is "long non-coding RNA (OSAT_LNC000450)". Lineage: Eukaryota; Viridiplantae; Streptophyta; Magnoliopsida; Poales; Poaceae. The record is from RNAcentral.
UUUACUAACGGAUUCUGUAAUUAGUUUUUUUAUUAAUACCCGAACACCCUAUACGAUAGUAUAUAUAAUACCCGAUGUGGCACGCCAAAACUUUACACCCCUGGAUCUAAACACCACCUUCAUAUGUGAGCCCUUGAACUUUUUCCUUCAAGCCGAACACUCCCUUUACAAAAUCUUCCAGCCUUUCACUGUUUCACACUCAUCUUCGGAACUUCGGCUUCACUCUGUGACAAUGGAUCAUGUUCUGAAUAGAACCUGCCUGAUAAUCGUCAAUAAUCACAGGGUAUUCGGAUGAAAUUUUGUGUAGGCUCGUGACAUGUUGGAGAUUCAGCCGCCUGCCAAAUAAGGAUCGUCAAAAUGUAGUUUAAUUAAGAGCAAAUUGGAAAUAUGAAUUUACUGUUUCAGCCUAUCCUGGUUUGGUCCAUCAGCUACACAACUAGAUGGCCACAAGUUUCCGCUCACCUGCUGCCAACUGCGACCAGCUGACGCAACAAAUUUCUAAUUGGCGAUCUUAUCAAUAAGCCAAAGCAGAUACAUCCCGGUACAUGGUGCCAAUAAUAAUAUCUCAUUUUUCAUUGAAGUCCUAUGUUUUGAUUGAACAAGAAUUAUUAAAGGUGACCAAAUUCAUUUUCUCAAGUUAAUAUUAAUUUAGAAAAGAAUGUGUUACUACCUAAUAAAAAUACGUGUUUUUAUGUUAGCAGGGUAAAAAGCGACUAAAUUAGAUGUCACUGUAGCCUAGAGGAGCCGGCAUCCGGCAUGUCAUUGUUUUUGAAGGAGUUGCUGAUACAAGCCAAAGCAAGCGUUGUUCAUGUGCUCAGGCAGCCAAAGCAGCGCCAGCCACAGAAUCGGCGUGUUUGGUUCAAGGAAAAAUCUGUAGUGAGUUAAAACCGAGAUGCAGUAAAUGUCCAGCUCGUUUGGUCUAGUCAACACACAGCUGGAGUUUUUCAUGUACAUGCACGCUAAUAAACUACUCCCUCCAUCUAUUUUUAUUUUUGAUAGUCAUAUUUUCAAAUCUAAAAAAAUUAUUUUUGAUAGACAUAUUUCAAUCCAACAACCUAUCAUCUUAAUGACUUUCUCAGAUUUAAUGCGUGGCUCUCCAUUCUUCCACACAAGAUUGGCUAAAUGGGUAUCGAGAAAUAUAAAUAUUAAUGAAUCACUUGUUUACGAGGAAUGACUAGUAGCAUGUUUAAAUAGAUGAUAAGUAGAAUUACGUAUCCUUGGCCUGUGUGUCAAGAUGAAAUAUGACUAUCAAAAGUAGAUGGAGGAGUAGGACAUUAUUUAUUUUGAAAUUUUAAUCACUCAUCUUUUUUCUAAAAAAAUAUAAUUACUAAAAAAAUGAGCGAGUCAUGUCCAUGUUUUAGGAUAGUUAAAUUAAUAUAUUAUACCCACCUCCAGGCCAGGCUUAAUUUGCGUUUCAAGUUCCCGUGAAUGAAAAGAGAAGAGAGUGAAGCAUCAGCAUUCCGGCUUACCCAAUAUCCGUGUGCAUUGCUAGGGUGGCCAUCACCAUCGUGCGGCAGCCACCACCACCACACACUCAUUGUCGUCUCCGCCAUGUGCCUCCCUCUCUAUGUCCACAACCCCUGAUGCAUCGACAUCGUUCCUCAGCCGUGUGCUUCGGGUUAGUGGAUGCAUGCGGCAGCCACUUCUCUGCCCAUCACCGAUGAGGCACGAGAACUAUUGCUGGAUACCUAUGCACCAGACCUAGUACUAGGGUGGAUCUGAUGCCCACAAGCACCAUACCACCCAUAGAUACUAGACCUGAUAUCUGUAACUGAUAGAUAUAGUUAGUAGAAUGAUAUAUGUGGGUAUCAAUUUUGAUGCCCAAUAUUAGGUAUGCUACCUUGUACUAGCCACACGGCUUAGCUGCUCCACCUCACCAUCGACCUCGCCGCCUCACCGGAGCCUUACUUUGUUGACCGAUCAGGGACACGUUGCCAUGCCUAAGCUGCCCAGCCAUGCUUGAGCUUCAUAGCACUGGCGGCGUCGUAUAGAAGAAGGGAACGAGAAUGAGAGAAGAGAGAGAGAGAAGGUCAUAUGUGUGGUAUAGAU